RNAcentral lists this ribosomal RNA (285 nucleotides) under uncultured microorganism. RNAcentral's name for it is "partial 16S ribosomal RNA". It matches the Rfam family "Archaeal small subunit ribosomal RNA", at positions 330 to 617 of the family's 1478-position model. The record is from RNAcentral.
GUGCACCAGGCGAGAAUCCUCCGCAAUACACGAAAGUGUGACGGGGCCAUCCCGAGUGCCGUCCGCCGAGGACGGCUUUUCCCCAGUGUACAUAGCUGGGGGAAUAAGGAGAGGGCAAGCCUGGUGUCAGCCGCCGCGGUAAUACCAGCUCUCCGAGUGGUGGGGACGCUUAUUGGGCCUAAAGCAUCCGUAGCCGGCUAGGCAAGUCCUCCGUUAAAUCCAACGAUUCAAUCGUUGGGCUGCGGGGGAUACUGUCCAGCUUAGGGGCGGGAGAGGCCGACGGUA